AAUUAUCCCCACGCCGCCUGCUUCCGGUUAGAAGUAGCAGUGCAGCUACAACGGAGUGACCAAUCUACCACCACCGCCCCACACCCACACGCCGCUCGACCUCGUCCCGAGAUCUCUGGCGCCUCCCAUGAAUCCCCAGCCCCUCCGCCUCGGCGCGCUCUUGGCGGCCCUCGUGCUUGCCGCCGGCGGCGGGUGGUGGGGCCGUGCGGAGGCGUCGAUCCACACCUACGGCCGCGAGUCGUUCCGCGAGGUGGG
This 255-nucleotide ribosomal RNA is filed under the name Triticum aestivum (bread wheat). RNAcentral's name for it is "partial small subunit ribosomal RNA". The record is from RNAcentral. Lineage: Eukaryota; Viridiplantae; Streptophyta; Magnoliopsida; Poales; Poaceae.